Molecule: ribosomal RNA, 328 nt
Filed under: uncultured bacterium
Lineage: Bacteria
Description: bacterial SSU rRNA
Rfam family: Bacterial small subunit ribosomal RNA
Source: RNAcentral
GAUGAAUGCUGGCGGCGUGCCUAACACAUGCAAGUCGAACGGUAACAUGUUUCUCACCUUGGUCCUAACUUUCAAAGUUGGUGCUGAAGUGAGAAAUGAUGACGAGUGGCGGACGGCUGAGUAACGCGUGGGAACAUGCCCCAAAGUGAGGGAUAAGCUCCAGAAAUGGAGUCUAAUACCGCAUAUGAUCUUCGGAUUAAAGGAUUUAUCCGCUUUGGGAGUGGCCUGCGUACGAUUAGAUAGUUGGUGAGGUAAUGGCUUACCAAGUCUACGAUCGUUAGCUGGUCUGAGAGGAUGACCAGCCAGACUGGAACUGAGACACGGUCCA